AUUAAAUUUCAUGCAAAUCAAUUUGAUUUUGGGGGACAUGUAAAAGAACCGAAUAUCUAAAUAGUGAUAGUCCAUGCGGAAUGACGGUUUGAAUGUCACAGAAUAGGUAUUUAUAACGCGAAGUCAAGAAUAGUAUUGUGUGCAACGUGUGAGAACUGUACGCCACUGGCCUGGAAUACAGCGGUGGUUCUGUUUACGCUUUAGAAGAGCAAUUUAGGGCGGUGUUGAAGGGAAGCCGAUUCAAGUGGGCUGCAGUAGUAGUAGUGCUGAGUGCACACGUACGCACGUGGCGUACGCUGUCGUACGCGCGCCGACCAGCGUAGUAGUACGUUGCUGGAGUGAGUAUUUCCCUUUCGAGUUGUUUUGCUCCACUCCAGGCCCCGCGGCCCGUUCCUAAUCCUAUCGUCCGGGCCCGUCUUUUGUGUGCCACUCGCCGCCGCCACUCUUCAGUCUUGUUCGCUUAUCCGUCCUCGCAGAUGCUGUCUCCGCGACGUGCUCGGCAUUGGUGCUGUGUUCUGUGAACAGGGCGUCGAGUGAAAUUGGUGUCUGGAAGGAAUACGUCCCAGAAUUGAUUUGUUCUGUGCGGAAACCGAGAUUUGCUUUCGAGUGCCUCUUCUCGAGUCAUCCCUUGCCACAUCUCGCGAUUUCGAUUUUCGGAUACCAGAUCGAUAAUUGGUACUUUCGCCGUCGAAGGUGAAGGAAAAGUGAUCUCUGCAUGUAGUGCGGGUCGGGAGUGCUGUCACUUGGCUUCUACCUGUGCCGCGGAGCUCCGUGUGAACCAGUUCUCGGUGCGACGACACCCGUGGAAUUUAAUGGACAACCGACAGCCGAGGCAAGGCUGAGUGCGACUGACUCGAGCACCAACACCAGGAAGCAUCAUGACGGAGCUGAAGGAGAGCCUUCCCAGGUCGGGGCAUGUAACCGAAGUAUGCAAGGAGUGGUUAGUACGAGAGGAUGGAGCAUUGGCGUAUCAACUUCAAUCUCAAGAAAUAAACGAAUUCUACAAUGGGAAUCGAUUCCGGAACGCCGUGGUAAGACAGGAUUUCCCAACCGCGUUGCAUGAGCAAAUCAAGGAACGAGAGGACGCUGUGAAACAAGCAGAGCUUCACCACAUGCAGCUGUUGGAGCAAGAACGUGCUGAUGCUGAACUAGCAAAAGAGAUUGCUGACAAAUUAGAAUUUGAUCGAGAGCGAGAACGGUUAAGGGAGUGCACUAAAAACGAAUCGGUGGCCAAAUUGCUACAGCGCACCUACAUUGAAAGAGCGCAGGUGAAAGACAAUGCUGAUUAUCCGACACCAUCACCCUCAAAUGUUGCACAUAGAAAUCUAUUACAUUAUCAACAGCACGGUGAUGUUGCAAAUAUACGGGCCACAAAAGAUUUAGAUUUGCACGUGCCUAAAAUUCAACAACAUAUGAGAGCACCCAAUAACAACCCCACGCUUCCACCUUGCUUUGAAAAUGCUAAUAUGAUUUAUAAACCGCUGCCACCCGUUCCACCACCUGCUAGAAAUGCUUUACCGCCAAAACGUGUUCCUCAAAUCCCCCAAAAUAGUCCUCCUCUCCAGCAUUGCCCCCUUAGUGAUCGAAAGGGUUUUCCGAAUGACAAUUCCCUCCAUUGCGAUAACGUAGCUGAAAGUAUUAGACAAUAUAACUUGAACGAUAACCUGGCAUCCGAAUCAAGAUCUGCUCACCUAAAAGCACACCAAUUACAGCUUUCCCCAGAGAAAUAUGAUUACAUAAUGCAAAAUUUGCAACUGGAUAAUAUGGACGAGGUGGUUUUUCCUGAAGAUGUGAAAACCAUAGAUGACUCCCGCCAGAAUGUUACAGCUAAUGGGAUGCGACUAAAUAAACCUUCGCUUGCAAAUAUAAAAAAUGUUACAGCCCUAAAAGAUUUGGGGAUUCCUCCGGAAGAAGUUUUGGAGUUGGACAGAAAAUUAGAACAAGAGAAACGUGAUGAGGAGUUGGCUGUUCGUCUACAAAAGGAAGAAGCUAGGGAAUCUUUGUCACAGGAGGAACGAGAUAGAUUAUUGGCAAUCGAAGCUCAAGACAAAGAAUUGGCUAAAAUGCUGCAAGAAAGGGAACGGGCAAAAGCUAGGCGUGCAAAAGAAAAAGCCCGUUUGAAAAAAAUGCAAGCACGACCUCAAUCCGACUUUGAGGGCCAUUCCUUUUCACAACGAUCGCCCGGAAAUUCCCAAUCGAUUCGAUCUGCUGAUUUCCUUACCGAUGGCGAUUCCUACUCAAAUCCUAUAGAUUUAAUAGCGAGUGGCCACAGUUCCCUAGAAAGUAGCUAUCGCCAUGAAAGGAUGCACAGCUCGAUAUCGGCUGAACACGCCGAACUCACCCUCAAAGAUGAUGAGAUCUACACAUUGCCCAUAGAAGAUGAAGUUAAGGUGGAAAAUCGGCCAAAUUCACUUGCAUUGCCUGAUGACGGUCAGAAACAAAUUUUAAGGAGCAAUCAAUCACCAGAAAGUAUCGGAAACAUUGCAGCAAUUAUUGACCCAACAUAUACAAGCUCUAAUGCCGCUGCUCAAGCAAACUCACCCAUGUCGGCGUCGAUGGGUUAUAAUUCAAAGAAUGCUCCCCCUUAUAUGCCAAUUCAAGGGACAAGACGGAGUGCAUCACUUGACGUUAAGAAGAAGAAACCAAAAGAUAAGUGUUCGCAUCAAUAGUUCAACAGGGUCAAAGAUAGCAUGGAGCCUCGUAGCACCUAUUUCCAUUUCUUCUGGAUACUUAAAAGGUGAAAGUGGAUAAGCAUGAAGGGAGUUUCGCAAAUGUUCGCUGACUCUAAGACGUUUGUGUUGCUGAACAUGGUUUUAAACCCUUUUUUUUUAAGUUUUUGCUUGACUACAUGAGAAUAUUUUUAUAUGAAUUUUGUGCAAAUCUUUUAUUAUAAAAUGUAAAAUUGUCGAUGCGGGAACAUUGGACUUUUCUACGCAACUCUUUCAAUUUACUUCUACUCAGACAUUUAUGUCAUAUUCAUUUAGUUUCAAGUUUUCACAGUACUGAAUGCAUUUUUAAUUAAUACCAAAAUUCUCUUUUGAGAAUUUCAAGAAACCAAAUGUUUUAGUGUGAUUUAAUGCUCACAAAGGUAAAAGUUUUUUAAUAUUUAAAUAUAAAUUCCCUAUUGGAAUUCCAAAUAUAUGUAUUUAUUACAAUAAGGAGAAAACAGAAGAAUUUACAAAAAAGUGUGCCUUACAGUUUUCAAACAGAAUUUUUUGUACUUUUUCUGAUGAGAAGAAGAAGAGCUUAUGGUGAAAUCCAUGGACGCUAACUGUAUUAUACAAGUCCGUUGAAAAUUUUCUCAGCUAUGAAGUUAGUCACAUUUGAUUCAGAGUGGUUUCUUUUCUAAAAGCAUGUUACCGUGUAGUGGCCAAUAAAUAGGGAGAAGUAAGAUGCAGUUAUGGUGGAGGAAAUACUUAGUACUCAGAUGAAAGAUAAACAAUAUCGGCAACGAACACGUUUUUUAAAUAACUCGAAAAUCUACAAAUUAGAAAUAGAUAUGAAAAAUCAUAAACCCAGAAAAAAAUUGUGGAAAUUAGCCUCUUUGGUUGAAUAAUGAUCAACCGUAGUUUGUAAUACUUGGAAGCUCAGAGAUUUUCAAAA
Molecule: RNA transcript, 3603 nt
Organism: Hermetia illucens (black soldier fly)
Lineage: Eukaryota; Metazoa; Arthropoda; Insecta; Diptera; Stratiomyidae
Gene name: coiled-coil domain-containing protein 50
Exons: 10
Source: RefSeq, a predicted model, not a curated record